GUGGAAGACUGACUUCCAGGCACCUAGGACUUAAGCUGAGACAGCAACAUUCAAAAUCUCAGCAUAUCUUGCAGAGCUAAGGUGCCAGGCAUGGUGAUACACACCUGUGUCCCACCCUUUGGAACACCUGAAACCUGCUAGCUCAGGGGUGGAGC
Molecule: long non-coding RNA, 155 nt
Organism: Mus musculus (house mouse)
Lineage: Eukaryota; Metazoa; Chordata; Mammalia; Rodentia; Muridae
Product: predicted gene, 38868
Exons: 3
Source: RefSeq, a predicted model, not a curated record